GAUGAACGCUAGCUACAGGCUUAACACAUGCAAGUCGAGGGGAAACGACAUCGAAAGCUUGCUUUUGAUGGGCGUCGACCGGCGCACGGGUGAGUAAAGCGUAUCCAACCUGCCCAUCACUUGGGAAUAACCUUGCGAAAGUAAGACUAAUACCCAAUGAUAUCCCACGAAGGCAUCGGAAUGGGAUUCAAGAUUUAUCGGUGAUGGAUGGGGAUGCGUCUGAUUAGCUUGUUGGCGGGGUAACGGCCCACCAAGGCAACGAUCAGUAGGGGUUCUGAGAGGAAGGUCCCCCACAUUGGAACUGAGACACGGUCCAAACUCCUACGGGAGGCAGCAGUGAGGAAUAUUGGUCAAUGGGCGAGAGCCUGAACCAGCCAAGUAGCGUGCAGGAAGACGGCCCUAUGGGUUGUAAACUGCUUUUAUAAGGGAAUAAAGUGGGUCACGUGUGACUUUUUGCAUGUACCUUAUGAAUAAGGACCGGCUAAUUCCGUG
RNAcentral lists this ribosomal RNA (492 nucleotides) under uncultured bacterium. Its description in RNAcentral is "partial 16S ribosomal RNA". It matches the Rfam family "Bacterial small subunit ribosomal RNA", at positions 28 to 507 of the family's 1533-position model. The record is from RNAcentral.